UUGUAAAUGAAUAAUUAAUAUUGGUGACACUGAGAUUUAGGAAUUUUUAGUUGACAGUACCUGGACUACUGAAUAGUCAUAGAAUACAAAUUAAAAAUGAGGGAAAAGUAAAAUUAUUAUUUUGAGAUAACAUAGGCAGUUAUAAAAAUACUUAUACAAUUUACUUCAUAAAAAGCUGCGAAGCUUUUUAAAAAUUCCUUUUCAUAAAUGCCCAUUUUCUUUUUAUUAUAAACCAAUCACUAUAUAUAUUUACGCUUGUUAGAUGUGUUAGACAUGCUUGACUAUGAUUUACAAAAUAAAAUUAAGUAAAAAAAAAGACCGCACACUUGUUUCUUGCAAAUUAUAACAUAAAUUUUGAAACUCUAACCCGGAAUAAACUCAUUUAUUUGAACUAUAUAAAGUGUAGUUUUAAUUGUUGAAUUUAGCUACUCUCAGUUUAGAAUAAUCAGGCUGUAUAUAGGGUGUUUGUAAUCUUGGAGAGGAUAUUUGAGUAGUAAAUAAAUCCAUGUGCAAAAACUAGGUUGGCGGAAAUAUUCUAUUGCUAAUAGAAUAUUUACUUUUUUUGAUACCUGCAGACUUACAUUGAUACGUUGAAAACCUUUUUGGAACUCUGUUUACAAAUGAUGGUACAUGUAUAUUUGGAAACUUGUAUACAAAAAAUGUGCAGUUAACUUGCAGUUUUCAUUAGUUUUAUCUUCAUACCAUUAAGGGGAGAAACCACAUUAGGAGGUCCAAAAAAUCAGAUUUUUUUUAAUUGUAUCAAUUGUUAGUAUAACUAUUUAAGAAUACGCUGCUAAAAUUUCAAAACGAAAUUCCGAUUCAUUCCAAUUUUAUGAGUUUAAAACCGAACACUCAUCGGGUACACAGCAGGUGUGGCGGAGCGCUUGUUCAGGUCAUUUGUUAAGCAAGAAAAGAACAGAUGCAAGCUCAGAAUGAUGCCUGUGAGGAAGAAAAAGGACUAUGCUGGAAUGGCUGAUUGAUCGAUCAUAAUUGCAGCCUCCACAUUUCCCGUAAACAACCAACUCGGACAACGAGCUUCGGUGGACAACAGCCCCAAACAUCGGAAUUUUCAACACAAGUGACAAGUGAUGUAGUUAAAAAUAUUAAUAAAAUAAUGUUAAAAGUUUGA
Molecule: long non-coding RNA, 1129 nt
Organism: Anoplophora glabripennis (Asian longhorned beetle)
Lineage: Eukaryota; Metazoa; Arthropoda; Insecta; Coleoptera; Cerambycidae
Exons: 2
Source: RefSeq, a predicted model, not a curated record